This 1211-nucleotide long non-coding RNA is filed under the name Vigna radiata. RNAcentral describes it as "long non-coding RNA (VRAD_LNC006904)". The record is from RNAcentral. Lineage: Eukaryota; Viridiplantae; Streptophyta; Magnoliopsida; Fabales; Fabaceae.
UGGCACACUUGUAAGUGUGUGCACCGUGGGAUUGGGCAGUAGAAUGCAAAGAAGAGAGAAGCCUCACGGUUUUGUGAGAGAAAGAAAGGAAAGGGUCUCCAAUAGUGUGCACAACAAAUUCAUGGUGUUUUAUGAGAGUUAUUUGUGUGAGAAAGAGAGAAAGGUUCACCACUAUGAGAAACUAGCGAAAGAGUGGAGCUGCUGCAUGUAUUAUUGAGUCGUGUGUUUGUUUGUGAGUUGUGCAUCACCAUGAGAGAAAGAGAGAAAAUGGGUUGUACUUUGUGAGUUGUAUCUUGUGUAAGUUUGAGAGUUUAAAGUGUUGUUUGUGUAUUUGUGUAUGUUCUAGAAAGUAAUCCAAAAAAAAUACAAAGAGUAUAUUUCUCGGAUAUUAUACUACGAGUUGAUACCAUGAGAACAUAUAUUUAUUGUUCAAAAAUUUCUACAGAGUGUAUGUUUUCUUUUGGCAAGUGAAGAGUUUCAAUGCAUGUGAGGCCACGAUAAGAUGAAGAGAAAUAUUAUAUUUUCUUCCUAUAUAGUGUAAACAUUUAGAAUCCACAGAGCGAGAAGGGGUUCUUAAUAUUAGCAUUUAAUGGUUUUCGUGGUACCUACCUUGGGAGGGAAAUCAUAAUAUGGUUAAUACCAAGUGCAUGAAAUUGUUGUUGUGCAUGUGCUACUACGUCCCUUGUUGAUAGGUAAAGUACGCAAAUGAUAUUCCAGGGUUGCAUUGGUGGAUUAUAAGAAUGGUGAACAGUUACAGGCUAAGGUUUUCGUUGUGCAGCUUUUAAAUUUUGGGUCUAUAAAAUAGGUCUAGGGAAGCUAAAGGAGUUUUCUUUAAAGAUAUAAAGAUUGAUGAGAGAGGUGCAGAGGUGAUCUAGUUUUAUGGGUUUCAAAAAUUAUAUCAUUUUUGAGUUAUUAUUGAGUGGAAUAGUAUAUAGGGUGAUAUAGUGUGAAAUCUGGAGGUGGGUGUAUAAAAUUGGUGCAUUGUUAGGUGAUAUAGGUAGGGUGGAAUAAUAUAUAGGGUGAUAAAGCUAUUUACGUUUCUCUCUCUGCAUUUAAUUCUUCAAACAUUCAUUUAUGUUUUUGUCUCUGCAUUUAAUUCUUUUACACACAACUCACUCAGGUUUGGCCACAUGACAUUUGCACCGUUAUGUUUUUAACGGUGUGAGCAAAAAGGACCGGAUUGAACAUUUUUUUAAUGAAAUAUGAAGCCU